This 421-nucleotide long non-coding RNA is filed under the name Mytilus galloprovincialis (Mediterranean mussel). Lineage: Eukaryota; Metazoa; Mollusca; Bivalvia; Mytilida; Mytilidae. The record is from RNAcentral.
UCCCGGUUGAUUACUACACAUUAAUGAUAAUACAAGCAGAUUCCAGUCUGUAUGUAAAAUAGUAAAUACGAAACCAAGCGCGGUAGAUGGAGAAAUGUAAUGUAAAGUAAAUACGAACCAAGCGCGGUAGGCAGAGAAAUGUAAUGGAAGUUCAGGUCAGCAGUAUCGGAAACAUGCCGCUGAAAGCGUCAUUUUCCAAAAACCAAUUGUUGGCAUGACACGGGUUAUGUUCUUUUCAUAUAUCAUGUAUAUGUUAUGAUGGUAUGAUACAAAACCCCUCACGAGAAGGAUUUGCCUGAUAUUCAUAUGAUGAAGACAUAAUCUUUCAAUCAGUUUAAUUGAAGUCUGGAGUUGGCAUGUCAGUUAACUGCUGGUAGUCUGAUGUUAUUUAUGUAUUAUUGUCAUUUUGUUUAUUUUUUUU